Molecule: ribosomal RNA, 283 nt
Filed under: uncultured bacterium
Lineage: Bacteria
Description: partial 16S ribosomal RNA
Rfam family: Bacterial small subunit ribosomal RNA
Source: RNAcentral
AACGAACGCUGGCGGCAGGCUUAACACAUGCAAGUCGAACGCGUGUAGCAAUACACGAGUGGCGCACGGGUGAGUAACGCGUGGAUAUCUGCCUUUUGGUUCGGAAUAACCCCGGGAAACUGGGGCUAAUACCGGAUGGUUCCUUCGGGAUAAAGAUUUAUCGCCAAAAGAUGAGUCCGCGUCCGAUUAGCUAGUUGGUGAGGUAAUGGCUCACCAAGGCGACGAUCGGUAGCUGGUCNGAGAGGACGAUCAGCCACACUGGGACUGAGACACGGCCACGACU